Non-coding RNA from Ameiurus melas (black bullhead), 75 nucleotides. The record is from the annotation of a GenBank genome assembly. Lineage: Eukaryota; Metazoa; Chordata; Actinopteri; Siluriformes; Ictaluridae.
AUAUGCAUAGUGCUUAGUGGUUAGCACGUUCGCCUCACACCUCCAGGGUCCGGGGUUCGAUGCCCUGUGUGGGCG